UUAUAGGCUGCUCCAGUUUAACUCCAUUUAGACAAACCCAAAAAGAACCUUUUAUUUGUAUUCCGUUUUUCAAGCUGCAAGUUUUUAAUACAUCACUGUAAAGUAAACCUGUGGUUGGUUGCAAAGGAAGAAUACCGUGGGCUUUCCCUUUUUGCCCAGUUUUCCAGAAAUGUCCUCACCUUGGUCAUAGCCAGUCUUUUGACAAAGUAAGCAGCAUUCGAUGAGGGGGUGGGAGGUGGGGGGGCUCUUUAUUCCAGCUUCCAAUUCAAGAUGUAGAGAGCUACAAUGUCUAAACCUAUUGAAUUGCUCCUUUAGUCCUUGAGACAUUAUUUCUCAGAAGCAGCCACUUAAUCUCUCAACCUUUGUUUUCCCUCUUUGACCAUAAGAGUUUAUAAAUCAGAGGGUUAUUUUGUUGCGGAGAUUUUGUUUUGUUUUUACUCCUGCAAGUUUUACAACUCAAAAUAAAUUAUAAAAAACAACAGACCUCUGAAACCCAACAGGACAAAAUUGUGCAAAAAUAACAAAGAUAUGUACAUACUUUUCAAUCUGAAGAAAUGUACAAUAAAAACAUAAUUCAAAGAACAGUUUAAAAAUAUAAACAUUGCUUAAACUUUCCUAAGUUUCAUAUUGUUUCUGAAACUAUUCUGGUCAGUUAGCUCUGCAAUAUAGUAAAACAUAAAUUAUUACAAAAUUAACACUAUAAAAAUUUACUUUAAGAAUAUCUUCUAAAUUUUUUUUCAAAGGGUCUAACCUUGUUUAUAAUUUCUUAAACAUUUAUAAGUCUUAAAAUCUGCCUUAACUUUUUUUUUUUUAAAAAGAAAAAGUAACAAUCGUCCCUUCACUUUGCAGUCUCUUUCCCCAAGACGUAAAUAAACCAGCAUAUAAGUGCACUUUUAACACUGCAGAAAUAAAAAUGAAAUCAUCCGAACUAAUGUCCUGGUACUUAAUAUCAACUCCUGAUUUUUAAAAAAAUCAUUUCGUAUGAAAAAAUUUAGUAAUCCUAUAUGAAACACUCACUGUCAGUGCAAUUCCAUUGAUGCAAAUCACUCCAUUUACCUCCCGUCUUUGCAAUUCCAAUUGUGUGGUGAAACCUAACAGUGGUCUGAUCUUUGGGUUGGGGGAAUGCGAAAGAAAAGGAAAACUUUUGGUUGGGGAUGAGGGUUCUGCCCAGCUGUGAAACUAGCAUUCAUUUCUGAUUUAGGGAUGAAGCAAAAUCUCCCAGUAUCUCUGCUAUACAUCGUAUGCAAAGUUACAUGAUUAAUAGCACAGAACACCUAUUUUAUGUUGUGAAUUCCUUUCCUGAUUAUGAUUCCCUACUAGAGCUGACGGUAUUGCUGUUUUUUUCAAAACUCCAGUGUGAAUAGUUCUAUGGCUGCAGGGCUCCAGCAUGGCUCUUCCAAAUGGCUGUUCUUCACUGAGCAGUGGCUAUCCUUACCAUUCCUUCUUGGGGAUGGCUGUCUCUAACACAGCAAAAGCUGAUCCAUGGAUUCCUGACCAGCUCAGACCACCACAGUCCCCAGUUUUUUUUUUAGGGGUCAUCUCCUAGCCACCAUGCUCUGUUUGCUGCCACCUUCCCAAACCUGUUCUGGCCCCUGUCCCUGACUGGUUUAUCCUUUCUGAGCUGCACAGCUGGCCAGUGGUAUUAGGUAAACCACAUGACUAAAUGGCCACUGUUCUCAAUCUUGCUUCUAGCAUUUGGCUCCAGCCAUGGUGGGCUGUGGAAACCCGAUGAGGGAACCCCACCCACCCUCCAACUCUCCACUCUCAGCUCCUCCCCAGCAAAGUCCCCUCUCCCUGCAGGCAGUCCUGAGGGGAUCCUAGGAGAGCCAGGUCCUUUGAAGGCCAGUGAGGACCCAGAGAGUGGCAGAUGUGGGGACGGAAGGGAUCGUGUGGAGAGG
Molecule: long non-coding RNA, 1898 nt
Organism: Macaca mulatta (Rhesus monkey)
Lineage: Eukaryota; Metazoa; Chordata; Mammalia; Primates; Cercopithecidae
Source: Ensembl